UACGAAGGGGGCUAGCGUUGCUCGGAAUUACUGGGCGUAAAGCGUGCGCAGGCGGUGAUGCAAGACAGAGGUGAAAUCCCCGGGCUCAACCUGGGAACUGCCUUUGUGACUGCAUGACUAGAGUACGGUAGAGGGGGAUGGAAUUCCGCGUGUAGCAGUGAAAUGCGUAGAUAUGCGGAGGAACACCGAUGGCGAAGGCAAUCCCCUGGACCUGUACUGACGCUCAUGCACGAAAGCGUGGGGAGCAAACAGG
Molecule: ribosomal RNA, 253 nt
Filed under: uncultured bacterium
Lineage: Bacteria
Description: partial 16S ribosomal RNA
Rfam family: Bacterial small subunit ribosomal RNA
Source: RNAcentral